CAUGGAACUCAUACUCUGGUCGCGGUUGGCUCUGGAGACGACAGCACAAUUCAGAACGUGCAUGAGGCUUUGACGCCCAGCUCAUCCAAAGGAGUGAUUGGUGAAAGAGUCAAGUGCAUGAUGACAAAGUUGAAGGAGACAAGACAUCACUUCAGGAUUCAAUCAAAUGACUGGCGAAAAACACGGAAUUGAUUCUCCGAUCGGGAUUUUGAAUUUCCGUGUCAGAAUGCACAACAAACCUCCUCCUCGUCAAAGCCCGUCAUGUCCCAGAUGUAAUUAAGCCUCAUCUGUCUCCUCUUCCAAUGCUCCAUGAACAUUGUGGCUGCAGAACACAAAGACGCCAAAUUCAAUUUGAGGCACCUACCCCAGAGCGCCAUAAAGAUGGAGAAGAAGACGGUGGCCAUGUUGUCGAACAGGUGGCUGGCCCUGGCAGUGCCGCAAGCCUCGACGAGCUUCCAGUAGCUGCAUGCGCGAUCGCACAGCGGACACAUGGUGAUGUUGUUCCUUUCAUCACAGAUCUCCAUACUGAAGCAUGUAGGAAAUGGGACAGGAGAUCAGCAGCAUGGUUGCGGGGAGCCUGGAGCCUAUUCCAUGUAACUCGGGGCACGAGGUGGGGGACACCGUGGACGGGGUGCCAGCCCAUCACAGGGCACAAUCGCACACCCAUUCACACACUAUGGACAAUUUGGAAAUGCCAAGCAGCCUCCAACACAUGUCUUUGGACUGGGGGAGGAAACCAGAGUACCUUGAGGAAACCCCUCAAACACGGGGGAGAACAUGCAAACUCAGUGCACACCGGACAGGGACUGGAAUCAAACCCCCAACCCUGGAGGUGUGAAGCAAACUUGCUAACCACUAAGCCACCGUGGCCCCCUGGACAUUUUGUUAGUUUGAAAUAACAAGAACAGCCACACACAGCCAGCACAAUUUGUUCAUUUUAUUUAAAGUUGUUACUUUUAUCCUAACUAGGCAUACACUAAGUAGAGUUCUUGAAUAUAAGAAUUGUUUGCAGUAUUCAAUAUUAAAAACAGACACAGCAGAGCAUACAUAUAGCACUUGACAUUGCAUCAGCAUUCACAAAGGAUUAACGCACAGCAUGCUGCUCGAAAUACAAAAUGCCAAUUGUUAAAAUGUCAAAAGAUGUUGGCUGUAGGCCUAGGAUUGUAGGUGGGAUUGAGCUUUCUUUAAAAUGUCACUGUAGACCUCUUUCCACUCAUCGUCAAAGAAAAGACCUACUUGUUAAUAUGUCAAGUUUUAAUACCUUUCUCAACUCAAUCAUUUGACUAGACAUUUUUAUUUCAAAUCUAUUAAUACAUAAUUAAGACUGCAAGCUCUUCUUCAGCAUUUCAACAUUUCAAGCUUUUAGUCAUAAACGCAAGAUUCAUAUUGUUAGCUGUGGUGAGAACACUGUUAUAUAAUUUCUAUGGAAACCACUGCAGUUCAUAGUAUUGUUAUAUACAAUCCCAAUUCCAAAAUAAAUUGGGAUGCUGUGUGAAAUGCAAAUAAAUGUAAAUAAAAACAGAAUGCAAUGAUUUGCAAAUCUCAUAAAACCAUGUGUUAUUCACAAUAGAACAUAUUAAAUGUUUAAACUGAGUAAAUAUACCAUUUUAAGAAAAAAAUUAGGUCAUUUUGAAUUUGAUGGUUGCAACACGUCUAAAAAAAAAAAAAAGUUGGGACGGGGUAGCAAAAGGCUGGGAAUGUAAGUGUUUCUAAAAAGAAACAGCUGAAGGUUAAUUGGCAACAGGUCAGUAAGAUGAUUGGGAAUAAAAAAGAGUAUCUUAGAGAGGCAGAGUCCUUCAGAAGUCAAUAUGGGCAGAGGUUCACCAAUCUGUGAAAAACUGAGUCUAGAAUUUGUAGAACAAUUUCAGAAUAAUGUUCCUCAAUGUAAAAUUGCGAAGACUAUGAAUUUCUCAUCAUCUAAAGUACAUAAGAGAAUCUGGAGAGAUCUCUGUGCACAAGGGACAAGGGUGAAAAUCAAUAUCACAUGCCUGUGAUCUUCGGGCCCUCAGGCAGCGCUGCGUUAUAAACAGGCAUGAUUCUGUAAAGGAAAUCACUGCAUGGGCUCAGAAACACAGUUCACCGUGCCAUCCACAAAUGCUGGUUAAAGCUCUAUUAUGCAAAGAAGAAACCAUAUGUGAACAUGAUACAGAAACGCCGCCAUCUUCUCCGGGUCAAAGCUCAUUUAAAAUGGACUGAGGCAAAAUGGAAAACUGUUCUGUGGUCAGACGAAUCAAAAUUUGAAAUUCUUUUUGGAAACCAUGGACGCCGCAUCCUCUAAACUAAAGAGGACUAAAGAGGAGAGGGACCAUCCAGCUUUUUCAUACGGCUCAGUUCAAAAGCCUGCAUCUCUGAUGGUAUGGGAGCGCAUUAGUGACUAUGGAAAGGCAGCAUCAAUGCUGAAAAGUAUAUACAGGUUUUACAGCAACAUAUGCGUUUAUCCAGAUUCCAAACCCAUCUUUAAUUCUGAAAGACUCUGCCUCUCUAAGAUACUCUUUUUUAAAUACCCAAUCAUGUUACUCACCUGUUGCCAAUUAACCUAAUUGGUUGCAAAAUGUUCCUCCAGCUGUUUCUUUUUAGUAACACUUAUUUUUACAGCCCUUUUGUUGCCCCUGUCCCAACGUUUUUGAAACCAUGAAAUUCAAAAUCACCUUAUUUUUUUCCUUACAAUUUCCUCAGUUUAAACAUUUGAUAUGUUUUCUAAUGCUCUAUUGUGAAUAACAUAUGGGUUUAUGAGAUAUGCAAAUCACUGCAUUCGGUUUUUAUUUACAUUGGACAUUUUUUGGAAUUGGGCUUGUACUGUAGGUGAGGUCAUUUUAAUAAUGCGUUCAUCCUAUUCAUCAUGCGAGGAUAAAUCGUGUGAGUGUGUUGUACAUUUUGGAUAUAGUUAGGAGCAUUUUAGUUACUUUUUCUAAACUUCUGUAAUUAAGGAUAUCCGUUUUUCUAUUUUUGGGGACUUCAACCUUCCUACAGUAUGAAAACAGUUUUGCUCUACAAAGCCACUGAGGUGACAUGGUGAUUAUUUUAAAUACAGUGUGGAUAUUGUGGCCAUGAGUUAAUAUUUCGAAGCUACACAUCAGGUCUCUAAUAGCCAUGAAUUAUGCCGUGGCCAUGAGAUACCAAAGUCGAGACGACAAAGUUGAUAUAAAUGGCCAUGAAUUGUGUAUCUUGAGGCCACAACUUAAUAUGUAAUGGGAACGCCAUAUUUAACAUGUGGUCUCCUCACUUAAGGUGAAGAGUUUUCCAUGGCCACACAUUGUUUAGUUCAACUGAUUUCUCUGUGUAUUAGUGUUUCUCACCACAAUUGAACUUUUUAUGGCCACAAAAGUAGAUUUUGAGAAAAUCUGUAACGGCUCAGGAAUAUCCCCAACACUUCUCUACACUUUUUGUUUUUUUGCGCUUAAUUAUUGCUUCGAGUUACAUUUGAAUAGCACUGUAAUACUUUACUACACAUGACAGUCACAAAACUCACAUUCUUUUCCUGAAUGUAGAUUCGAAGUCCUAAUUCGAAUAAAUCAAGGUAUAUCUUUAAUAUAUUCUUCAGUUUUGAGUCAAAAUGUAGUUGUGAACUACCUAGAUCAAGUCUGACAAUUUACUGUGUCUACACAGCCUUCCACAGAGCAUAAAAAAUGCAAAGAAGAAACAAAUGCAAGAGAAAAACAAUGACCCGAGUCCAAUGUUAUGAAGUUUUCCCUUAUAAGGAAAUGUACUGAUAUACUGCAAAAUACUAUGUAUUAUAUUUAUUAAUAUAUGUAUUUUUUGAUAUAUUAUGAUAUAUCUAAUAAGGCCACAUUUUGCCUCCAGGCUUGUCUUUGAUAAUCAACAUGCAUGUGUGUAAGAUGAAUAUAAAAUCCUGCAUAAUCAGGGGCAUACAGUCAUUUCAUACAGUGUUUUAUAUAUAGAGAUGUUAUACAAUUAUACCUUAUGUAUCACACAAUAUAUGUGAAAUGUGUUAACCUUCUCCUCACUAGGAUUGAUAUGUUUCUCCAUAUAGCUUAUGAAGAUUUGUAAUAAUCUUUAUAUAGCGUGUUAAAUUACAUUUAUAUUUUGCUGUCUUAGGGUCCGUUACUAUGCUUUUCUGUUCCCAUUGCCACGUUCCUUUUAUUGGCCGAAGAACAAAACAGAAAGAAAGGCCUGAUAGAAAACAAUUAAUCACAUAAGAUGUUAGUGCAGUAGGUCUCAGUAUUCUCCAGAGCUACUCAAUAUUCCUGCACAAUAACGCAUUACUGUUACAGUAAAAAGUAUUCAGAGCAGCUGUGAAAGCUUCAGACGAUAAAAGGAUGCCAGCAGUCGGCAUCCAUUCACAUGUAGUUAAUCUGUGCCUUAAGUGCAGCUCAAGAGUGCUGUGAAUUCAGCGCGUAUGCUUAAGAACUGUCAUUACAGACUACAUUAGCGCCCAUUAUGACUGCAGACAACUGUAUAACAACUUUUCUCCAUCUAAUUACGACGUGUUUGGAAAUCCAUCAGGAGGCAAGCUGAGUAACCGACUGUUAGAAAAGUUUUACCUGCAUAACUGCUUCCUUAAUUACUUUUAUUUUCGAGUUCUCCACUUGCUUUAUCCGAGUAAGCCUUAGGGCACUUGGCAGUUCUGUAGUAAACGUUACUGGGCAUGGUUUCUUACUGACUCAGACAUGUACUCAGCCAUCAACGCUCAGGUGAGUCCGUGUCUCCGCAUCGUGUGAGAACACAGACACAACCUGUUCAGCUGGAUCAUUAAAAUGGUAUCAACCAA
Long non-coding RNA from Ictalurus punctatus (channel catfish), 4729 nucleotides. RefSeq lists it as uncharacterized. Lineage: Eukaryota; Metazoa; Chordata; Actinopteri; Siluriformes; Ictaluridae. The record is from RefSeq and is a predicted model, not a curated record. The transcript has 4 exons.